CCCUUAGAUGUUCUGGGCCGCACGCGCGCUACACUGACGAAUGCAACGAGCUUAUAACCUUGGCCGAAAGGUCUGGGUAAUCUCCAAAUUUCGUCGUGAUGGGGAUAGAUUAUUGCAAUUAUUAAUCUUCAACGAGGAAUGCCUAGUAAGCGCAAGUCAUCAGCUUGCGUUGAUUACGUCCCUGCCCUUUGUACACCCCGCCCGUCGCUCCUACCGAUUGAAUGGUCCGGUGAAGCGUUCGGACCGUGGCCUUUGGACGGUUCGCCGUCUGUUGGCUGCGGGAAGUUCGUUAAACCUUAUCAUUUAGAGGAAGGAGAANUCGUANCA
RNAcentral lists this ribosomal RNA (327 nucleotides) under uncultured eukaryote. RNAcentral describes it as "partial 18S ribosomal RNA". It matches the Rfam family "Eukaryotic small subunit ribosomal RNA", at positions 1470 to 1796 of the family's 1831-position model. The record is from RNAcentral.